Long non-coding RNA from Canis lupus familiaris (dog), 2599 nucleotides. RefSeq lists it as uncharacterized. The transcript has 3 exons. The record is from RefSeq and is a predicted model, not a curated record. NCBI's taxonomy places the organism in Eukaryota, Metazoa, Chordata, Mammalia, Carnivora, Canidae.
AAAGAAAUCAGCCACAUAUCUGAGAUCUGGUGGAAUCAAGUUUUGUCUUCUUUACCAUCCCCUUCUGUCUUGAAGACAGAAGUUCUGCUUAGUUAUUGGAAGUACUCAAGUACCUUGGAAAAUCCUAUGAAUUAGGCACACAGAAGGACCACAUUUCCGAGACACUAGAUUGGAACCUUGUGACUGUAUUCCGACGUAUGGGAAUAUGAGCUGACACAACAUAUCGCUUCUGCUGAUGACACAUGAGAGCCAAUAGGCCUCUGGCCGUUUCUCUUUCUCUUCCUUGAUUAUCUGGGAUGCCGUGUCUUCAGAGGACAGUAUCAUCAGAUGGAGGACACCUGAAUCUUCAACUAGAGGAAGGACGUGACCACCUCCCAGCAGACUUUUCAUGAGCAAGAAAUAAACCUUGUUGUGCUAAGUCAGUGACUUUCCGGGAUUUGCCUGUUGGAUUAACUUGGGGUUAUUUGCCUAACAUUCUCAGAAACUUUCAUUUCCAGAAAACAACCUAUUACUGAGACAUUUAAAGUUCUUCAUGAUCUGCUCCUAAGAUGAGCCCUGAUUAGAUGCCAGGCCCCAAGUUUAACACUACGUAUCAUAACUGGUUCAACUUUAUAACAACCUAAUGAGAGAAACUGAAGUCCCCAGAGAUAAAACAAUGUACAUGAGUUCACAUGGCUAACAAAAUGAGUAAGACCAAUACCAAAACCCAUACCCAGUUUUUCUAUCUCUUUGGCAAGGUCUUUCCUAGAGAUGUGUCAAAGACAUGCUCUAUAGUCCAACGUGCCUGAGCUUGCUGUAUGUUAUACCUUUCUUUUGCUGUGCGUCUACUUAGAAAUAGGGCCUCAGUUGCCUUCAAAUAAUUUACCAAGGGAGGUCUUUCUGAUUACUACGCAGCCUCUUUAGUCACUCAUUAAAAACUGCAGAGCAUUAUGGGAAGGGAGGCAGGUAAGUGUACCUGCUCCAAGCUGAACGUGGCAUUUUGUGCCAUAGGAGUUUCUGGGGCCAUAGCAAGUCCACCAGCAACAGAUCUUACUGCUCAGUUAGAGGACACUGUGAGCCAGUGCAUGUGAAAGAGCUUCGAGAAGACGUGCAGCCCUCUGCAAAUGUGAAGUAAGCCUAUCUAUUUACUUUCUCCCUAAGUCUGUAUGCAGAGACAUCACCUGACCACCAAGGCAGCAAACAGUAGAGCCCUUCCAUCCUGACUUUCAAACUCAUCUCAUAAUGUUUCUAUUAAUAUCUGGCAAAAAUCCACCGAGAGCUGCAAAAAUCCCAGGGAGCUUGUGUGAGCCCUUCUGAAGAAUGAGCGUUGGCAAACGUCAGAAACAAAGCAGAAGCCAAAGCUUAUUUAUAGUUCUGGGCAGACCUAGCUCCUAGGGCAGAGCAGGCUUUGUGUUCAAAGACUCAUCUCAGGUUAAAACAUCCUAUUUUAUUUAAACAGAAAGUCCUUGCUGGCAGCUACACAACUUUGACCAGAUAUAGGAUUUUCUCUGUGUCACUUGGCAUAAAGACAUGCAAAAGUUUCCUAAUAUGAUAUUCUUGUAACUUGGAAAAAUUAGUAACUCCCACCAUGCAACCCUUGUAGGAUCAUGUGCUAAUGAAGAAGAUGCUCUAAUAAUUAGGCCUAGAGCCCACUGAAUGUAACACCUUCCAAUUAGCACUCCCCAGCAUGAAUACUGCCAUUAUCAUUAAACAACAAAGACAAAAAUGGGUAUCAAUCCACAUAAUAGAAAAUAAUUGAUGAAGUUGGAGGGCGUGAUUAUUUGUGAUUACUUUACAGUCAUGCACAGAAAGUAGGAGAACCACAGCUAGUGGUUAAUCUCUGGCUACCUCUUUGAAGAUAAUGAAAUUGGCUUCCUACUGAUGAUUAUUCAUUAACAAUUAAUUCUUUCUCAGUGAUCUGCCUCAUUUUCAGCUUCUCACUACAAACAUGCAAUGGAAUAAUUACAAGUGGAAAUGAAAAAGCAAUUAGUGGCAGAUAAUGCCAACAUCUGAUUAAAAAACAGUAGAACAGAUUAGCAGUUUCGUAACUGCAAGUCUGCUGCCUUCAGCAGGGAGGUGUAAGUCACCCAGUUAUACUGCAGUUCAAGCUGUGCUUUCUCUUUUAUUGCCUCCCUUCCAUCAUGGUCUGCCACAUUAAAUGCUCUCUUUUAUUCUAGGGGGCAUUGGCUGUUGUAAAUACUUUCCACAGAUUAAGUAGCGUUUGAGAUGAUUUGUGGUCCUAGAGGCUGAAAUUCGAAAAGGCACGGUCUCAUCAUAUGAUGGCUAAACCCCGUAUCUAUAUACGCCUUUCUUUGGGGACCACAGAAAAUAUCACCAUACAUUGCUUUGCUUUUGUUUCAACUCAACCUUUGUUAAGUAUCCACAGAACAAGUCUCACUAAAUCAAAAACAAACAUCUUCUUUAAGAAGGUUGGCUCUUUUGUUACCUGCAUCCAUGGCUGCUUGGGUCUUGUAGGUUGGAUUCUUGCCUUGCAUAAUGGGAGACAUAAAUUGGCGGUUAGUAGAGUUUUACUUAAUGUUUAAUAAGGGUUGACGUAGUGCUGGCUGCCAUAUAAAUAAUCCUUCAAUAAAAGGCUUAUAAUUUCACUCUUCUCAGCAAU